GGGAGAGGAGCCCAGCCCCAGAAUUCCCAGGUGUUUCUAUUCAGUGAUCAGCACUGAACACAGAGGACUCACCAUGGAGUUUGGGCUGAGCUGGGUUUUCCUUGUUGCUAUUUUUAAAGGUGUCCAGUGUGAGGUGCAGCUGGUGGAGUCUGGGGGAGGCUUGGUCCAGUCUGGGUGGUCCCUGAGACUCUCCUGUGUGGCCUCCGGAUCGACCUUCAGUGACUACUACAUGCACUGGGUCUGCCAGGCUCCAGGAAAGGGGCUGGAGUGGAUUGGACAAAUUAAUCCUAAUGGACGUAGCACAUACUUCACAGACUUCGUGAAGGGCCGAUUCACCAUCUCCAGAGACAACGCCAAGAACUCGCUGUAUCUGCAGAUGAAUAACCUGAAAACCGAGGACACGGCGGUGUAUUAUUGUGCUGGAGACACAGUGAGGGGAGGCCAGUGUGAGCCCGGACACAAACCUCCCUGCAGGGGCGCUGGGGGCCACUAG
Molecule: non-coding RNA, 493 nt
Organism: Saimiri boliviensis boliviensis (Bolivian squirrel monkey)
Lineage: Eukaryota; Metazoa; Chordata; Mammalia; Primates; Cebidae
Source: the annotation of a RefSeq genome assembly